CAUCAUUUCCAAAUAAUGUGAAUUUGAAUGUGAAUUGCGCCGCUUCUUAUUUAUUAUUCAAGAAAAGAUCAUAUAGUGCUUCUCUGGGUCUCUUCUGAAUGCAAAAGUAAAUAUUCUGAAAUGUGGCACCACUAGACCAAGAGACAGCAAUUGUUCACAUUAUUGCCAAAUCUUAAGCAUUGCCACCACGUCCGUUCUCUAUAUAAAUACAGCAUCCAGCAGCCUCAACCAUGUCAAUAUACAAAGGGCAAACACACAACAUACUAACAGAGCACAGAAAUAGGCAGUGACUUAGAGAAGGUGAGAAACAGAAUGGCAAAAGACAGCAAAAAAGAGUUAGUUGGUGUCCUCAUCAUGGCCUUCUUGGCAAUAGCUGCAACAGCAACGUUGCAGGAAGACGAGGCAGAAUGCGCAGAGCACCUUGCAGAUCUUGCGGCUUGCAUUCCAUUUGUGAGUGGCACCGCCAAGAAGCCAACAACUGAGUGAUGUCCAAAAAAGAGUUAGUUGGUGUCCUCAUCAUGGCCUUCUUGGCAAUAGCUGCAACAGCAACGUUGCAGGAAGACGAGGCAGAAUGCGCAGAGCACCUUGCAGAUCUUGCGGCUUGCAUUCCAUUUGUGAGUGGCACCGCCAAGAAGCCAACAACUGAGUGCUGUCAAGACGCCAAGAAACUGAAAGCCACCGAGCCUAAGUGCUUGUGUGUCCUCAUCAUUGCGAGCACAGACCCUUCCAUGGGUCUCCCUGUCAACACCACCCUCGCCCUUCAAAUGCCUUCUGCCUGCAAUAUAGAUGAUGCCAAAGCCUCUAACUGUCCCUGUAAGCCCACUUCAUACUCAGUUACGCACUAUAUUUUGUCAGAACCUAAGUACAACCUCUGUUCACAUGGCCUUUUUUGCAGCUCUCUUGAACAUUUCUCCAGACUCCCCAGAUGCAAAGGUCUUCAAAGAAGCAGGAAUUUCAGAUUCUUCUUCCACCAGUGGCUCAAGCACAGCAACUGGUUCCCCA
RNAcentral lists this long non-coding RNA (1002 nucleotides) under Linum usitatissimum (flax). RNAcentral describes it as "long non-coding RNA (LUSI_LNC003971)". Lineage: Eukaryota; Viridiplantae; Streptophyta; Magnoliopsida; Malpighiales; Linaceae. The record is from RNAcentral.